RNAcentral lists this unclassified non-coding RNA (204 nucleotides) under Hevea brasiliensis (rubber tree). The record is from RNAcentral. Lineage: Eukaryota; Viridiplantae; Streptophyta; Magnoliopsida; Malpighiales; Euphorbiaceae.
GUUCAUGCCAUUAGUCGCUGCGGCAUCGUUUGUGCAAUCAAAUGAUAUUAAAUUAUUGAUCCAUGUUCUAGUUUCAUGACCUUCCCAAUUAUUUUAUUUUGAAUUAGGUUCUUGAUGGAUAAAAUGUGCCAUUUUAGCAUUCUUUCUAGGAAUUGAAUGUGCAUUACUUCAUAAUGUGUUCAAGGCAGUGGCAGACAAGAUCUA